GGCAAAGUUAAUAAGGGCGCACGGUGGAUGCCUUGGCACUAAGAGCCGAUGAAGGACGUGACUAACGACGAUAUUCUAGGGGGAGCAGUAAGUACGCAUUGAUCCCUAGGUCUCCGAAUGGGGAAACCCAGCUGCUACUAGCAGUUAUUCAUGAGUGAAUACAUAGCUCAUGUAAAGGUAACGCAGAGAACUGAAACAUCUAAGUACCUGCAGGAAGAGAAAGUAAAAACGAUUUCGUAAGUAGCGGCGAGCGAACGCGAAGAAGGGCAAACCAAGAAGCUUGCUUCUUGGGGUUGUAGGACUGCAACGUGGACUUAAGCAUUAUAGUCGAAUAACCUGGGAAGGUUAAUCAAAGAGGGUAAUAAUCCCGUAGACGAAAUAGCGCUUAUACCUAGCAGUAUCCUGAGUAGGGCUGGACACGCGAAAUCCAGUUUGAAUCCGGGAGGACCAUCUCCCAACCCUAAAUACUCCUUAGUGACCGAUAGUGAACCAGUACCGUGAGGGAAAGGUGAAAAGAACCCCGAGAGGGGAGUGAAAUAGCACCUGAAACCGUGUGCCUACAAGAAGUUCGAGCCCGUUAAUGGGUGAGAGCGUGCCUUUUGUAGAAUGAACCGGCGAGUUACGUUAUGAUGCGAGGUUAAGUUGAAGAGACGGAGCCGUAGGGAAACCGAGUCUGAAUAGGGCGACUUAGUAUCAUGAUGUAGACCCGAAACCUAGUGACCUAUCCAUGAGCAGGGUGAAGGUGUGGUAAGACGCACUGGAGGCCCGAACCAGGACACGUUGAAAAGUGUUUGGAUGACUUGUGGAUAGCGGAGAAAUUCCAAACGAACUGGGAGAUAGCUGGUUCUCUCCGAAAUAGCUUUAGGGCUAGCGUCGAAAUGUAAGUGUAUUGGAGGUAGAGCACUGUUUGGGUGAGGGGUCCGUCUAGGAUUACCAAUCUCAGAUAAACUCCGAAUGCUAAUACACAUGUUCGGCAGUCAGACUGCGAGUGCUAAGAUCCGUAGUCGAAAGGGAAACAGCCCAGACCAACAGCUAAGGUCCCAAAAUAUAUGUUAAGUGGAAAAGGAUGUGGGGUUGCACAGACAACUAGGAUGUUAGCUCAGAAGCAGCUAUCAUUCAAAGAGUGCGUAAUAGCUCACUAGUCGAGUGACCCUGCGCCGAAAAUGUACCGGGGCUAAACAUAUUACCGAAGCUUUGGAUUGAUAUUUUAUCAAUGGUAGGAGAGCGUUCUUAACCGCGAUGAAGGUAUACCGUGAGGAGUGCUGGAGCGUUAAGAAGUGAGAAUGCCGGUAUGAGUAGCGCAAGAUAAGUGAGAAUCUUAUCCACCGUAAGACUAAGGUUUCCAGGGGAAGGCUCGUCCGCCCUGGGUUAGUCGGGACCUAAGGCGAGGCCGAAAGGCGUAGUCGAUGGACAACUGGUUGAUAUUCCAGUACUAGAUAUGAUCGUGAUGGAGGGACGCAGUAGGCUAAGAGAUGCCAGUUAAUGGAUUCUGGUCUAAGCAGUGAGGUGUG
This 1511-nucleotide ribosomal RNA is filed under the name Lactococcus lactis. RNAcentral describes it as "partial 23S ribosomal RNA". It matches the Rfam family "Bacterial large subunit ribosomal RNA", at positions 1 to 1528 of the family's 2925-position model. Lineage: Bacteria; Bacillati; Bacillota; Bacilli; Lactobacillales; Streptococcaceae. The record is from RNAcentral.